This is a long non-coding RNA of Physcomitrium patens, 684 nucleotides long. RefSeq lists it as uncharacterized. Lineage: Eukaryota; Viridiplantae; Streptophyta; Bryopsida; Funariales; Funariaceae. The record is from RefSeq and is a predicted model, not a curated record.
UCGGCCAUCGCAUCGUGUUCCCAGUCAAAUUUCAAGGGUGAAGCUUCAUUGCUGCCUCGAUUUCAGCUAAUUAAUCUCUUCGUUUCUUGCCUCUUCUCCCUUCAUAGGGUUUAGAGUGGCGUCGAUAGGGAGGAAGUGGGAAAAAGGUUUGAAUGGCCGGAGUCGCAGCACCCUCCCCCACGCGGACGAGGGAGCUUUUCAGGACUCUGUUGAGAGAGGGUCGUAAGUUCUCCAAUUAUAAUGUGCGAGAGUAUGUGAAGAGGAGGACUAUCGAGGGGUUUAAGGAAAACAAGAAUGUCUCUGAUCCAUCUGCGCUUGCUGCAGCUUACGAUUACGGAGUGAAGCAACUUGAGAUUAUCAAGAGACAGGUCAUUGUGUACAAUCUUUAUGCCCCGGCAGUCAAGAAUAUUAUGGAUUUGAAAAUCUCAAAGCCGACUACUUCCUGAAUUUUCUUUUUCCAUGCGGCUUCAUGUCAGUUGGUAGAAAUUUUUUUGGUGGAUUUGCAAUUUUUUCGAGCACCGAAGGCAAUUUCUGAUGGCUUUGCUGAUUUUUGAAGAGUUGAUGUGGAAGUACUAAGACUGAAUAUAGAGUACGGAGGUCUUCAUACAGUAUCUGAUUUUCUGUGCAGUGAGAAUUAUGAUGUUAUGAUUACAUGAUCAAUUAUACCAACUCUUUGAAGCACUA